UCUCUUGAAAAUAACAACUUGAUUUUAAUCAAAGCGACAUAACCAGAAGUUGUCUUUGGCCUUUUUGGUCUUCAGUUGUGUGCCAACUUGUCAACUUGUAAUUGCAAAAACAGAAUGACAAUGACAGCGCCCAUAAACAUUUUU
Molecule: long non-coding RNA, 144 nt
Organism: Thalassophryne amazonica
Lineage: Eukaryota; Metazoa; Chordata; Actinopteri; Batrachoidiformes; Batrachoididae
Exons: 4
Source: RefSeq, a predicted model, not a curated record